UGGUAGUCCAUGCCGUAAACGUUGGGAACUAGAUGUAGGGCCUGUUCCACGGGUUCUGUGUCGUAGCUAACGCAUUAAGUUCCCCGCCUGGGGAGUACGGCCGCAAGGCUAAAACUCAAAGGAAUUGACGGGGGCCCGCACAAGCGGCGGAGCAUGCGGAUUAAUUCGAUGCAACGCGAAGAACCUUACCAAGGCUUGACAUAACCGAGAACGGGCGAGAGAUCGUCAACUCUUUGGACACUCGGUUACAGGUGGUGCAUGGUUGUCGUCAGCUCGUGUCGUGAGAUGUUCGGUUAAGUCCGGCAACGAGCGCAACCCUCGUCCUAUGUUGCCAGCACGUUAUGGUGGGAACUCAUGGGAUACUGCCGUGGUCAACACGGAGGAAGGUGGGGAUGACGUCAAAUCAUCAUGCCCCUUAUGUCUUGGGCUUCACGCAUGCUACAAUGGCCGAUACAAAGGGCUGCGAUACCGCGAGGUGGAGCGAAUCCCAAAAAGUCGGUCUCAGUUCGGAUUGGGGUCUGCAACUCGACCCCAUGAAGUCGGAGUCGCUAGUAAUCGCAGAUCAGCAACGCUGCGGUGAAUACGUUCCCGGGCCUUGUACACACCGCCCGUCAAGUCAUGAAAGUCGGUAACACCCGAAGCCGGUGGCCUAACCCUUUUGGGAGGGAGCUGUCGAAGGUGGGACUGGUGAUUAGGACUAAG
Molecule: ribosomal RNA, 702 nt
Filed under: Leucobacter sp.
Lineage: Bacteria; Bacillati; Actinomycetota; Actinomycetes; Micrococcales; Microbacteriaceae
Description: bacterial SSU rRNA
Rfam family: Bacterial small subunit ribosomal RNA
Source: RNAcentral